GGUGAAGCACAAGUCAACCAGCAUGGCUAAUCGACUGGAUGACAAAGAACAAGCUGCAGGAGGACAUGGCCAUCUUCUUUCUGGUCCUUGCUUGCCUCACUGAGAGGAAGGAUGGUGACCUAACUGGUAAGUUUUGGGAAAGGAACUCCACCGUAUGGCUCAGUCUCUCCGGAAUCUCCUCCUCUGGCACCUGGCAGCCUGUGUGCCAGCAGGUGCCCACCGAAGUCUUUUCCUCCAUUCAGCCAGCUUACAGGACAGGCUCAGCCCGUCAAGAGCUGGAGUCACGUUUAAUUAGGAACGCUUCGUGAAAGUGCAUCUAAGCCACAUUCUCCAGUCAAUUUCAUCUGUGAGAAAGUGGAGGCGUUUGCGUCUCCAUUUGCUCUCUGUGCUUGUUCCUUGCUUGAGACGGGACACAGGGGUAUUACUGACAGCCCCCCAUACUCCCACCCCAAGCCCCUCUACUUAACAGUGCUCAACCCAUAGGAAGCGCUCAGUAAGUGCACAGACAUCUAUUCUAGGAGCCUAACAUUCUCCCAAACCAAUCCCACAGUAUCACAAGGUUGGCAAGGUCCCCAGAAGUCUCCUGAGGGGAAGACUGGACAACUCCACCCCAGCGACUCAGCCUUGUGGCCCUGAUGCUUUUGACUUCAGGCCUCAUUUGAUGACUUGCAGGUUCCUAAAAGGCUUGCCUCUUGAUAUUGGCCAGAGAGCUCUAACAGAAAGCCCUGGAGACUACAGCCUUAUAUCUUCACUUGAAAUAAUCUGCUUGUCCUUGUGGAAUGAGGAUGGAAAGAGGGAGAAAGCAGAGGGGUUAGAAUAGUAUGUUGUUGUGGGGGAGGUACCUAUUCCCUUUGAAUUGCCAAAUGACCUGGGGACCAGGGAAGCUCUACCUGAAUAUGGGGCUCUGCCCCAUUUAUCCUUUUCACAGAGGUCCUCAUCUUAAUAUUUCAAUAGCUAUGUUGGAAAGCCUGAUGAAAAUGAACUCUACCAUUACUUUGCUGUGAGACCUUGCGCAAGCGCCUUCACCUUUCUGGACCUCAGUCUCCUCAGACAGAUCAAGAAUAAGACCAUUGGGCUAAGUGUGAGCAGGAAAGAAUAAGGAGCUGGGAAGGGAUUGCCUAAGCCCUUGCAUGCUGGCUCUCUCCAGUGGGUGGCUAGACCCCCAGUUCCCUGCGCCCACCCAGGAGACUCACAGAAGGACGGGCAGGGAUUUCUGUGUUUCCCACUCUCAUUUCUAAGGCCUCGAAGUGCCCAAGUUUAGGUACAGUAUUCUGCCUCCUCUACCUUCCUCUAACCAGCCUUUUGUCU
Molecule: long non-coding RNA, 1308 nt
Filed under: Bos indicus x Bos taurus (hybrid cattle)
Lineage: Eukaryota; Metazoa; Chordata; Mammalia; Artiodactyla; Bovidae
Description: lncRNA (ENSBIXG00005030386.1)
Source: RNAcentral